This 230-nucleotide unclassified non-coding RNA is filed under the name Glomeraceae sp. RNAcentral's name for it is "partial contains 5.8S ribosomal RNA and internal transcribed spacer 2". The stretch from base 1 to 71 matches the Rfam family "5.8S ribosomal RNA", at positions 84 to 154 of the family's 154-position model. Lineage: Eukaryota; Fungi; Glomeromycota; Glomeromycetes; Glomerales; Glomeraceae. The record is from RNAcentral.
GUGAAUCAUCAAAUUUUUGAACGCAAAUUGCACUUCCUGGGAUCCCGGGGAGUAUGCCUGUUUGAGGGUAAGUAUUAACAAAAAAUCGGUUUGGUUGCAAAUUGUGACGUGUCCGGUGUUUGGGCUAUCUUAACUUUUUUGGUUAAGAGUCUUAAAAUUGACCCUUUUUGCGCAUUUUUAGACGGACAUAAAUUUUUAUUUAUUCGUCUAUUCUUAAUUCAAAAAUCGUA